Non-coding RNA from Salvia hispanica, 735 nucleotides. NCBI's taxonomy places the organism in Eukaryota, Viridiplantae, Streptophyta, Magnoliopsida, Lamiales, Lamiaceae. The record is from RefSeq and is a predicted model, not a curated record.
CUUGAAAUUUCCAGCAAACUAAGAGUGAGAGAGAGCUUGAGUUCUAGUAGUAUAGAAAAGGAAUCGGUAGCUGCUGCAAGAGGGCCAGAGACACAAGUAAACGGCUGCGGGUCUUAGGAUCAGAAGAAGGAUUUAGCAGCUGUUUUCAAGAGCGAGAGAGAGAGGAUAGGGACUUAUCUGCUGCCGAUGAAGCGGCGUGGCUCGCGGAGGAAGCGCGUGCAGCGCUGCUGCUCGCCGACGGGUUCCCUACCGCCACGAGGAGAAGGCGACAGGGCCGGGAAGCCAAGGGCGACGGUGGUGGUGCGUUACGGAGUUGAGGGGGGCUGGACGGAGAAGUGUACUCUGGCGAGUUCGCACACCAGCGAAGGCAGCAGUGGCGAGAGCACCGCCUGUUACGAUCACAAAUUGAUGAAGAGGCACUCCACAUAAGAGUGGGCUGGGGUUGAGUGCCACGUCAGCUAAUAAGGGAGGACAGCCGGAGAUCUAACUAUCUAAUAACCAUGAGGGAGAAAGAGGAGAGAGAGGGGCUUGUGAGCUGAAUAUAAAAGGAGAGAAAGAUGCAGCAUAUACUCAUUCAUUAAAAUAGUGUGUUGUGUGCGCUGAGCGCUUGGGCUGAGGAUCGUGGAUCCGAAGCAUUAACCUUGGUUACUUCUAUCUUGUUUAUCGUUAUCAAUUCCUAUUGUAUCGUCUACUGUAUCGUCAUUUCUUUAUCCGUUGAUAAUCACUUCAAUAUCA